Molecule: ribosomal RNA, 438 nt
Filed under: uncultured bacterium
Lineage: Bacteria
Description: bacterial SSU rRNA
Rfam family: Bacterial small subunit ribosomal RNA
Source: RNAcentral
UACGCGAAGAACCUUACCAGGUCUUGACAUCCAGUGCAAACCUAAGAGAUUAGGUGUUCCCUUCGGGGACGCUGAGACAGGUGGUGCAUGGCUGUCGUCAGCUCGUGUCGUGAGAUGUUGGGUUAAGUCCCGCAACGAGCGCAACCCUUGUCAUUAGUUGCCAUCAUUAAGUUGGGCACUCUAAUGAGACUGCCGGUGACAAACCGGAGGAAGGUGGGGAUGACGUCAAGUCAUCAUGCCCCUUAUGACCUGGGCUACACACGUGCUACAAUGGACGGUACAACGAGAAGCGAACCUGUGAAGGCAAGCGGAUCUCUGAAAGCCGUUCUCAGUUCGGACUGUAGGCUGCAACUCGCCUACACGAAGCUGGAAUCGCUAGUAAUCGCGGAUCAGCACGCCGCGGUGAAUACGUUCCCGGGCCUUGUACACACCGCCCGU